This 328-nucleotide ribosomal RNA is filed under the name uncultured eukaryote. RNAcentral describes it as "partial 18S ribosomal RNA". It matches the Rfam family "Eukaryotic small subunit ribosomal RNA", at positions 1470 to 1796 of the family's 1831-position model. The record is from RNAcentral.
CCCUUAGAUGUCCUGGGCCGCACGCGCGCUACACUGAUGCAUGCAACGAGUUUAUAACCUUGGCCUGAAAGGUCUGGGUAAUCUUUUGAACGUGCACCGUGAUAGGGAUAGAUUAUUGCAAUUGUUAAUCUUGAACGAGGAAUUCCUAGUAAACGCGAGUCAUCAGCUCGCAUUGAUUACGUCCCUGCCCUUUGUACACACCGCCCGUCGCACCUACCGAUUGAAUGGUUCGGUGAAGAUCUCGGACUUCGAUAUUUAUUCUUUAUUGAGUUUAUAUUGUGGGAAGUUAUCUAAACCUCAUCAUUUAGAGGAAGGUGAAGUCGUAACA